RNAcentral lists this ribosomal RNA (550 nucleotides) under uncultured Alphaproteobacteria bacterium. RNAcentral's name for it is "bacterial SSU rRNA". It matches the Rfam family "Bacterial small subunit ribosomal RNA", at positions 28 to 624 of the family's 1533-position model. The record is from RNAcentral. Lineage: Bacteria; Pseudomonadati; Pseudomonadota; Alphaproteobacteria.
AACGAACGCUGGCGGCAGGCUUAACACAUGCAAGUCGAACGAAGCCUUCGGGCUUAGUGGCGGACGGGUGAGUAACGCGUGGGAACGUGCCCUUUGCUACGGAAUAGUCCCGGGAAACUGGGUUUAAUACCGUAUAUUCUCUACGGAGGAAAGAUUUAUCGGCAAAGGAUCGGCCCGCGUUGGAUUAGGUAGUUGGUGGGGUAAUGGCCUACCAAGCCCGCGAUCCAUAGCUGGUUUGAGAGGAUGAUCAGCCACACUGGGACUGAGACACGGCCCAGACUCCUACGGGAGGCAGCAGUGGGGAAUCUUAGACAAUGGGGGAAACCCUGAUCUAGCCAUGCCGCGUGAGCGAUGAAAGCCUUAGGGUUGUAAAGCUCUUUCGCUGGGGAAGAUAAUGACGGUACCCAGUAAAGAAGCCCCGGCUAACUCCGUGCCANCAGCCGCGGUAAUACGGAGGGGGCUAGCGUUGUUCGGAAUUGCUGGGCGUAAAGCGCGCGUAGGCGGAUUGGAAAGUUGGGGGUGAAAUCCCGGGGCUCAACCCCGGAACUGU